GCCAACCGCCCUCAUUCCCUUGUGCCAAUCCAAACCCUAGCCGUCGCUAGCCUACUGCUCCCUCCCGGCGCUCGCCUAGUAGCGCGCCGACACGGUGCCCUCGCCCCCACAGUCGUGUCCUCCGGUCUGUGGGCGUCCACCUAUGGCGCUCUCAGACGUCGGCACCAUGUCGGCUAAGCGGGGAGGUGGCGGUUGCUUCUUGGUUCCAGUCCCUCGGGCACUCGCUCUCUUGCCCGACAAUGACUGGGCGCCCACCACCCUACGCCAUGUCUCCAACUCGUUGCCAAGCCUUCGUGAGGGAGGAAAAGUAGGGUAGCCAGAAUCUCUGUUGGUGUCACCUGUUUCAUUGUGUUCAUGAUGAUCCUUUCAGUAAUAGGCCUUUUUAGGUAUUAAAGGAAACGUUUGUGCUCUGGUUUCUGCAAGAGGUUUGCACAUAAACAAUUUUUAUUGCA
Long non-coding RNA from Zea mays, 452 nucleotides. RefSeq lists it as uncharacterized. The transcript is spliced from 2 exons. The record is from RefSeq and is a predicted model, not a curated record. NCBI's taxonomy places the organism in Eukaryota, Viridiplantae, Streptophyta, Magnoliopsida, Poales, Poaceae.